This 264-nucleotide ribosomal RNA is filed under the name uncultured bacterium. RNAcentral's name for it is "partial 16S ribosomal RNA". It matches the Rfam family "Bacterial small subunit ribosomal RNA", at positions 793 to 1055 of the family's 1533-position model. The record is from RNAcentral.
GUCCACGCCGUAAACGAUGCAUACAAGUUGUAGCUGGGAUUGACUCCGGCUGUGACGAAGCUAACGCAAGUAGUAUGCCGCCUGGGGAGUACGGUCGCAAGACUAAAACUCAAAGGAAUUGACGGGGGCCCGCACAAGCGGUGGAUUAUGUGGUUCAAUUCGAAGCAACGCGAAAAACCUUACCUGGAUUUGACAUGUCACGACAACUGAAGAAAUUCAGCUUUCUCGCAAGAGACGUGAACACAGGUGCUGCAUGGCUGUCGU